Molecule: unclassified non-coding RNA, 256 nt
Filed under: Hevea brasiliensis (rubber tree)
Lineage: Eukaryota; Viridiplantae; Streptophyta; Magnoliopsida; Malpighiales; Euphorbiaceae
Source: RNAcentral
AUCAAAUAUUGGUUAAUUUUUAGUUAGGGAUUGUCUUUCAAAAUGUUUGAAAGAUCAACCAACCAACGAAGGUGGCCCAGGCCAUAGCUAGUUCUGCUAUCACUAUCACGCACUCGAGUGUAUAAAUUAAUUUAUACACUCGAGUGCGUGAUAGUGAUAGCAGAACUAGCUAUGGCCUGGGCCACCUUCGUUGGUUGGUUGAUCUUUCAAACAUUUUGAAAGACAAUCCCUAACUAAAAAUUAACCAAUAUUUGAU